RNAcentral lists this small RNA (102 nucleotides) under Arabidopsis thaliana (thale cress). RNAcentral's name for it is "ATSL228480". The record is from RNAcentral. Lineage: Eukaryota; Viridiplantae; Streptophyta; Magnoliopsida; Brassicales; Brassicaceae.
AACAAGCGAUACAAAUUACUUUAGAAGCAGCUUAACUUUCACAUUCAGAGUUCAGCCAAAAACAAUCGUUGAAGAGUGUAAGAAUCUCGUCUAAACAAAAUG